Molecule: unclassified non-coding RNA, 474 nt
Filed under: uncultured Bacteroidota bacterium
Lineage: Bacteria; Pseudomonadati; Bacteroidota
Description: uncultured Bacteroidetes bacterium partial 16S-23S ribosomal RNA intergenic spacer
Rfam family: Bacterial large subunit ribosomal RNA (bases 354-474)
Source: RNAcentral
CCUCCUUUCUAGAGUAUUCAAAUUUUAGGAUGUUAGUCUUUUUUCUUACUUCAAUAUUAUAUUUUAACUCACCCAAUAGCUCAGUUCUCACUACUGAACUCCGUGGCUAUUAUUUAUAGUCCCUUAGCUCAGUUGGUUAGAGCGCUACACUGAUAAUGUAGAGGUCCGCAGUUCAAAUCUGCGAGGGACUACCGCUAUGGGGAAUUAGCUCAGCUGGCUAGAGCGCCUGCCUUGCACGCAGGAGGUCAUCGGUUCGACUCCGAUAUUCUCCACUAAACUCAAAUGAGUUGAAGUUCUUUGACGUAUUUCAAUAUUAAUAAUCAUAAAAAGUACAUAACAAAUUGUUACUUAUUAAAAAGCAAAUUAAGGGCGUAUGGCGGAUGCCUUGGCUCUCAGAGGCGAUGAAGGACGUAAUAAGCUGCGAUAAGCUACGGGUAGGAGCAAAUAUCCUUUGAUCCGUANAUUCCNGAAUGG